This 1960-nucleotide ribosomal RNA is filed under the name human gut metagenome. RNAcentral's name for it is "bacterial LSU rRNA". It matches the Rfam family "Bacterial large subunit ribosomal RNA", at positions 1 to 1977 of the family's 2925-position model. The record is from RNAcentral.
GAAAGUAAAUAAGGGCGCAUGGCGGAUGCCUUGGCUCUCGGAGGCGAUGAAGGACGUGAUAAGCUGCGAUAAGCUUCGGGUAGGUGCAAAUGACCAUUGAUCCGAAGAUUUCCGAAUGGGACAACCCGGCAUUCUGAAGGAAUGUCAUCCAACUUUGUUGGAGGCUAACGCAGGGAACUGAAACAUCUUAGUACCUGCAGGAAAAGAAAAUAAAUAAUGAUUCCCCUAGUAGUGGCGAGCGAACGGGGAUUAGCCCAAACCACCCAUGUUACGGCAUGUGUGGGGUUGUAGGACCACGCUCUCGCAAGACAGUUAUUGAGAAGAAACGACUGGAAAGUCGUGCCAUAGACGGUGAUAGCCCGGUAUUCUAAGGUAACCGAAGCGUAGUGGUAUCCUGAGUAGCGCGGAGCACGAGGAAUUCUGCGUGAAUCAGCCGGGACCAUCCGGUAAGGCUAAAUACUCCCGAGAGACCGAUAGCGAACCAGUACUGUGAAGGAAAGGUGAAAAGCACUUCGAAUAGAAGAGUGAAAUAGUCCCUGAAACCAUGCGCCUACAAGCGGUCGGAGCAGCGUAAGUUGUGACGGCGUGCCUUUUGCAUAAUGAACCUACGAGUUACUUUUUCCGGCAAGGUUAAGCAUCUUGAGAUGUGGAUCCGAAGCGAAAGCGAGUCUGAACAGGGCGGAUAGUCGGAAGGAGUAGACGCGAAACCAAGUGAUCUACCCUUGGGCAGGUUGAAGGUUAGGUAACACUAACUGGAGGACCGAACCGAUAAGCGUUGAAAAGCUUCCGGAUGACCUGAGGGUGGGGGUGAAAGGCUAAUCAAACUUGGAGAUAGCUCGUACUCCCCGAAAUGCAUUUAGGUGCAGCCUUGAGAGUUACUAAUGUGAGGUAGAGCGACUGAUAAGAUGCGAGGGCUUCACCGCCUAUCAAGUCUUGACAAACUCCGAAUGCGUGUCAGUUCUAUGUCAGGAGUGAGGGCAUGGGUGCUAAGGUCCAUGUCCUAAAGGAGAACAAUCCGGACCAACAGCUAAGGUCCCAAAAUGAAUACUAAGUUGAACUAACGAAGUCAGAUUGCUAAGACAGCUAGGAUGUUGGCUUGGAAGCAGCCAUUCAUUUAAAGAGUGCGUAACAGCUCACUAGUCGAGGAGUUUGGCGUGGAUAAUAAUCGGGCAUUAAGUGUUUUACCGAAGCUAUGGGAUACGUAAGUAUCGGUAGGGGAGCAUUCCACUCAGCGUUGAAGGCGAAGCGUGAGCUUUACUGGAGCGUGUGGAAAAGCAAAUGUAGGUAUAAGUAACGAUAAAGGGGGUGAGAAACCCCCUCGCCGAAAGACUAAGGUUUCCUGAUCAACGCUAAUCGGAUCAGGGUUAGUCGGGUCCUAAGGCUCAGCCGAACGGUGAGGCCGAUGGCAGAACAGGUUAAUAUUCCUGUACUACCUGUAGGAGUGAUGUGGAGACGGAGGAGUGACAACGCCGCGGACUGACGGAAUAGUCCGUUAAAGGGUGUAGAUGUUGAUUAUCCCAGGCAAAUCCGGGAUAAGAGUCGAACCUGACAGUAUACCAAUUUCCCCGGAAAACGGUAAUAGUGCGUGUAAACAUACUCCCAAGAAAAUCCGCUAAACUUAAUCUUACAGGUACCCGUACCGUAAACGGACACACGUAGUCGGGUUGAAUAUACUCAGGCGCUUGAGUGAAUCACGGUUAAGGAACUAGGCAAAUUGACCCUGUAACUUCGGGAUAAAGGGUCCCUACUGAGAGGUAGGGCGCAGAGAAUAGGUCCAGGCAACUGUUUAACAAAAACACAUGGCUGUGCGAAAUAGAAAUAUGAAGUAUACAGCCUGACACCUGCCCGGUGCUGGAAGGUUAAGAGGAGAUGUCAUCGCAAGAGAAGCAUUGAAUUGAAGCCCCAGUAAACGGCGGCCGUAACUAUAACGGUCCUAAGGUAGCGAAAUUCCUUGUCGGGU